GCUAUAUCAUGUUGAAACACUAGUUCCCAUACAAUCACCAGUUAAGCAACAUUAAGCCUGGUCAGUACCUUGAUGAGUGACUACUUGGGAAUACCAGAUGCUGUAAG
Acanthosepion pharaonis is the source of this 107-nucleotide non-coding RNA. The record is from the annotation of a GenBank genome assembly. Lineage: Eukaryota; Metazoa; Mollusca; Cephalopoda; Sepiida; Sepiidae.